This 825-nucleotide ribosomal RNA is filed under the name Triticum aestivum (bread wheat). RNAcentral's name for it is "partial small subunit ribosomal RNA". Lineage: Eukaryota; Viridiplantae; Streptophyta; Magnoliopsida; Poales; Poaceae. The record is from RNAcentral.
AUGUUGAUCUCCUUGGCCUCUCCCACCAGUUCUUGCACAAAGAAGGAGAAGGGGUCCCUCCUGCAGUUUCUCAGUGGUCUGUCGUCGGACGGUGGCCUCGCCACGUCCUGGAAGCAGAACGGCGCAGACUGCUGCGAAUGGGAAGGGGUCACCUGUGGCGAGGAUGGGGCAGUCACAGAUGUCUCAUUGGAUUUGAAGGGCCUUGAGGGGCGCAUAACACCAUCCCUCGGCAACCUUGCUGGCCUUCUGCGCCUCAACCUGUCCCACAAUUCGCUGUCGGGUGGCCUGCCGCUGGAACUGGUGUCGUCCGGUAGCAUCAUCGUCCUUGAUGUCAGCUUCAACCGCCUCAGUGCAGACGUGCAAGAGCUGCCAUCUUCAACCCCAUCACGGCCUCUUCAGGUACUGAACAUCUCAAGCAACUUGUUCACAGGACGGUUUCCAUCAUCCACCACCUGGGAGGUGAUGGACAAUCUGGUUGUGCUCAAUGCCAGCAAUAACAGCUUCACUGGGCAAAUACCGGAUAAUUUCUGCAGCAUCUCGUCAUUGUUAGCUGUAGUUGAGCUCUGUUACAACCAAUUUACAGGCAUCAUCCCUCCUGGACUUGGUAACUGCUCCAUGCUCAGAGUGCUCAAGGCUGGACACAAUAACCUCCGCGGGACUCUCCCAAAUGAACUCUUUGAUGCUUCCUUACUGGAGUACCUCUCACUUCCCGACAAUGUUCUAGAUGGAGAGCUUGAUGGUGCUCAGAUAAUGAAACUCAGCAAUCUGGUGACACUAGACCUUGGAAGGAAUGGUUUCAGCGGCAAGAUUCCAGAUUCCAUAUAG